UUUUGUCUUCAUAUCUUCAAUGCUUCAACAGACACAAACACCGGAUUAUAGAUAGGCUUGUAUAUAAUCAGUGUAGCAAUGAAAUGUUUCACUGACUGUAAGGUUUUUUUUUAGCUUUCUUCACACCAAACAUUGCAAUUAGUAACAGCAUCAGAAAGAUUAUGUUUCCGGGAAAAAUAUCUUCAGAGUAGCAAUAUUCCGGAGAAGAAUAUAGACCAAAUUACAGGUUUCUCUCUCCGAAGAUAUAACAAUUCGUCUAUGAUUAUGUUCUGAUAAUAAGAACGCUUUAUAUAUAUUUUU
Long non-coding RNA from Octopus bimaculoides (California two-spot octopus), 300 nucleotides. The record is from RefSeq and is a predicted model, not a curated record. NCBI's taxonomy places the organism in Eukaryota, Metazoa, Mollusca, Cephalopoda, Octopoda, Octopodidae.